Long non-coding RNA from Ictalurus punctatus (channel catfish), 6734 nucleotides. RefSeq lists it as uncharacterized. Lineage: Eukaryota; Metazoa; Chordata; Actinopteri; Siluriformes; Ictaluridae. The record is from RefSeq and is a predicted model, not a curated record. The transcript has 7 exons.
AAUAAGUUUUAGUGUUGCUUAUUAUAACUUAAUUGCAUUAUACACCAUCAAUGUAGUUAUGCAGUAUUAUAAAUGUCACAUGUAGUGAUUGUCCUGUUCAUUUUUUCCCCAGGAUUCCCAGGAACCCUGGCUGUGUGGUGGGAUUACAUCUUUGAGCAUUAUUAUUAUAAUUAUUAGUUGUAGUAGUACUUGCAUACUAUAGCUGUAAUAUUUUAAUCAACAUUAUUGAAUUAUUUCAUUUAUGCAUGAUAUAGUAUUAAUUUUAUGUUGUAGCAUUUUUAGAAAUGUCAUGCCAAUGAAAAUGUUAUCUUUGUCAUUAUUUCAUUCACAGGAACUUGCUCUGGAGUGAAGGUGAUGCUGCCUCCUUGUUGUUGUGAAUAGGAGUAGUGUUGAUGGUUAUAGAAGUAGCAAAAAGAACUUUGCCUCUGGCUGUGAGGGUUAGUUGUUUGUCAGCUGGAUGGAAAACCCCAUUUCUCUUGAUGUCAGAAUGUAUUAAAUAUCAACACGUUAUACAGGUAUUAAAGGUGCGAAUUUAUCCCGACUGAGCAAGCCACAGAGUGGUGACGGUGGCAAGGAAAAACUCCCGAAGAUGUAUUAAGAGGAAGAAACCUUGAGGGGAACCGGACUCGGAAGGGAACCCGUCCUCAUCUGGGUAACAACAGAUAAUGUGAAAGUUCAUUCCUGACUUAUAUGAAGUCUGUAUGGCCUUAGGAGCAGCCGUAGUCCCAGCAGUCUGGAAGUGGAGAUGAUUUGAGCUCCAUCCAGAGGCAGAAAGGAUCAGGAUCUCUAGUAUCUCCAUAAAAUCGUGUGUGGCUCGUCAGAAGGAGAGAGGGAGAGAAAAGGUUAUUAGGACUGGGAAUUAGUAUAAUAGAAAGUCUAGUCAGGGUAGGCUUGAGUAAACAAAUGCGUUAUAAGCCUAGACUUAAACACAGAGACUGUGUCUGAGUCCCGAACACUAAUAGGAAGACUGUUCCAUAACACUGGGGCUCUAUAAGAGAAACCUCUUCCCCCUGCUGUAGCCUUCACUAUCUGAGGUCCCGUCAAAUAGCCUGCAUCUUUUGACCUAAGUAGGCGUGGCGGAUCAUAGAAAACCAAAAGGUCGCUUAGAUAUUGUGGCGCGAGACCGUUUAGUGCUUUAUAGGCUAAUAAAAGUAUGUUAUAGUUAAUGCGAGAUUUUACUGGGAGCCAGUGCAGUGUUGAUAAUAUCGGUGUGAUUAUGGUCGUAUCUUCUAGUUCUAGUUAGGACUCUAGCAGCUGCAUUCUGGACUAACUGGAGUUUGUUUAUAUUUCUACUGGAACAUCCAGACAGUAAGGCAUUACAGUAAUCUAAUCUAGAGGUGACGAAUGCAUGAACUAGUAUUUCCUCAUCAUGUAGUGACAAUAUAUGUUUCUCGGCUUAUAUAUAUUUCUGAGAUGAAAGAAGGCGAUCCUAGUAAUAUCUACAUGAGCAUCAAAUGAUAGGCUGGAGUCAAUCACUCCAAGGUCUUUAACUGCUGCACAUGUUGAAACGAAGACCAUCCAGAGUAACCAUGUGAUCAGAAUGAUUAUUUCUAGCUACACGUGAUGCUAAUAAUAGUAUUUGUUUGAUCAGAAUUAAGUAAAAGGAAGUUAGUUGACCUCCAACGUCUAAUGUCCUUUACACAAUCCUCAACCUUACUAAGCUUCUGUCUGUCCUCUGGCUUCGCUGACGCAUGCAACUGUGUAUCAUCAGCAUAACAGUGGAAGUUAAUUCCAUGCUUACGAAUAAUUUGUACUAGGGGUAGUGUGUAUAUAUAAAGUAAAAAGUAGUGGGCCUAAAACAGAACCCUGCGGAACUCCAAAGGUAACCUCGGUAUGCGUGGGGAAGUCUUCAUUCACAUCUGCGAACUGAUAACGAUCUGUCAGAUAAGACCUGAGCCAGGAGAGGACUGUUCCCUUAAUGCCAACGUUUUCUAAUCUAUCACAACCUGGAAGACACAACCCUGAUCAGAGGCCAGUAGUAGGUCAUUUACUACUUCAACUAACGCUGUCUCUGUGCUAUGAUGAGGUCUAAAUCCUGACUGAUGUAUUUCAUGAGUGUUGUUUCUAUCCAAGUACGAGCAUAACUGCUUUGCUACAACCUUUUGUAAAAUCUUGGAGAGGAAGGGGAGAUUUGCUAUCGGUCUAUAGCUGGACAGUUGAGAGGGGUCAAGGUCAGGUUUUUUAAUCAGGGGUUUAAUAACUGCUAAUUUAAGUGAUUUGGGUACAUAGCCAGUGAAAAACACUGCAGGACUUUUUCUAGCUUGGCACGGAACUGUAUUCUUCCUUUUCAAAGUUCCAGCUUUUAUAGGAGUGCCACUUAAAAUAUCUUCGGAGGGUUUUUCCUGCUGCCAAAGUUUAGCUGGAACAGUCGAGUAAUCUUGGCAUUAAGUCUUUACUCCAUUCCAUGUUUGCCUUGUCCCGUCAAAGCGGCCUUCUCAUCUUCAGAACAUGCUGCUUUUUUAAAUAAAAUCUUUUCUAAGCUCAUUUGGAGAGAACCUGUCCUACGGGUGCAUCUUGAAGGAGAAAACCUCUCUCGAGUACGUCUGUCGGGGUAAGCUUGGACAAAUCUAGUCUUACGUCUUGAAGAAUAUUAUGUUCGGCCGUUUUAUUCAUGCGUGAUUGUGGGAAAAUAUCCUCGACUAUACACCAAUCAUGGGAAGACCCUGGAAGUAGAGUCUUCUCUCAUGGAGAUGCAGCAUGAUCCUAUUGCUUCUACUGAGAUCUCCAUAUCAACCCCCUGGGAGGUGUCUCUCUCCUUCUCCCUGAAAAAGAAAGCACAUGAGUAAAACUAAGACCACAGAGGGUUUCGAUUCUCUGGGUUACUUUGUUGUGGCCAUACAACAGAUGAGCUACUCGUGAUAGCCGACUGGUUAUAGUGUUCUAGAUCUCGGCGAUUUUUAGCACGAUCCGUUAGUCUUCUGGUUGCUUUAAGGUGUGAAGGUUCAGAUAGUCUGCCGUUUUUGGUAUAUCCUAAGACUUGAGAAAUACUCGUCAGGUUUCCUUCAAGUGCUUCAUACAAAAUGAGCGCUAGAUUUUCCCCUUUAAAAAUGAAAAGGUUCCUCAAGGGUUUGUCCAAUUAUUAAGGGUCGGUUUGUUCGAUUGAAGAAGGUAGAACGAGGCAGAGCAAGGAUGCUCCUUUCAUAUCACUAUCACUUCUGGGAACGGCAGCCAUGGAGACCACAUGAGCAGGCUCUCCUGCAAUUCUUCAGGGAGCUCCACAAGGUUGGUGACCUAUUUAUUUAUUUAUUUUUAUAUCUAUAACCAUAUGACUGAUUCUUUCCUGCUGGCUGAAGUCAUGGAGAUUUCUUCCACCUGCUUAAUUCCACAUGGAACGACUGAUCAGGUUUCCAGCCUACAGAAGCCUCUAGAGGUGUGUCUGUGCUUGUACGUGACCUGCUGAGUCGCCGUGGUUGUACAGGAAACGGGUGAUGUGAAAAAGGUUGUGAUGUAGUGUUGAAUCGUUUUUAUAUGAACCUUACUGUCCAUUUCAUUUCAGCUCUAACAGUCUUGCUGUUGCUUGUACGUCGGCCAUCUCCAUAAGGGAAAGUUUGCUCCUGGUAUGCAGCGAUUAGUACCUACGAAAAGUGGUCCAAGACUCUCGAGCGCUUGUGCGAUGUGAUGGCCAAACAAGUGAGAUGCAUGGAGGCCUCACCUCGCAACUUGGAGGACUUAAAAGAUUGUGUAGACUUCAGAGGUUUUGCCUCAAUGGUUAAUGGUAGGAGGACCUACACAAUAUUAGGCAGGUGAUUUUAAUGUUGUGGCUGAUUGGGGGUGUGUGGGGUUUUUGGGGGUAGUGUUUGUUUAAAUGCAUAUCUUUUUAUCUAAAUAUUUCACAAGAACGGGCACGACAGAGCGGUCCAUUUCUAUUGUUCUAGGCUCAGGUUCCUAAGCAUGAAAAAUAAAUGAUGGACGAAAGGUACGACUGAUCCUCACACCUCAUGCUAAUGCAGAUGAACAGGGAUGUAACCCAGUCGUUGAUCGCGUCACCUACUCCUUGUACAUCAGUGACUCAGCAGGUCACGUACACACAGAUCAAGCCAGGUCACACACGGGCAUCCUCUACAGGUUCCUGUAGGCUGGAAAAUCUGCUCACAUGAUGUCUGUAAGUUAGUGUCUAAUCUGAACACGGGAAAGGUUUUAAUUAAUCAAUUGCAAUUAAUUAAACACCGCAUCGUUAGCAGCAAAAGUCAUAACUACUUUAGAACCAGUUCACUUAAAUAUGGGCUACACAAGUGUGUGUCAGAGCCAGGACCGAGACAUGAAUACAAGAAGUGGUGUUCAGUCUUUUAUAAUAAAGGAUAACAGUACUGAAGCUCUUCCUGUGAUUUCGGGUAAGACUGCAGAGAAAUCAAGCUCCUGAAUGUUUCCGGAUUUGUGCAUAUGGACGUCCUCAUGGAUCCAGACCACAGGCUUUCAGUAGGGCGAAUAUCGUUAAGCUGACAUGGUCAUGGCUGUAAAUUGGUGUUGUUUUUAACCCUUUGUGUUCAUUCAGAAAUACGUUUGCUGCGUGAUCCUGGGGAAGCUCGAUACACAAGCGGCACAGUUUUUAUCCAAACCAGGUUGUGUUUUAUGCAUCUUUGGUGCGGCAUCAUGAUCUGUCUUUGGCCAAGUCUUAACCAGCUGGCAGAGGUACUAGAGUAAAAUAUACUGGACCCUCAGCUGCAGAACUUCCCCAAAGCAUCCAUUAUCCAUCACCAAAUUUUACAACUUGGCGAUGUACCAAUCUUCCCCACGAUCUCAGGAUGCCUGGAGGAUGCUGGAACCGAGGGUUUCUUUACUCCCACAGAGUUGCCGCCAAACCCCAGCAAUUGAAUUUAGGUGGGUCGGGGAGGAUGUCCUGUACUGCCUAAAGUAGGAGCCUGAUGACGUGUGGUUCUGCCUGCCAGAGAUCAGCCUGCUAGAUCUUCCUGCCCUCGACUUGUUCUCUUUUGGUCCAGGCACCUUGUGGUCUUAUCCCCUCCGCCCAGCUGGCUCUCGACUCUCCGAAAGCUGCUCGUUUCCUUUGAGGUGCGAAGGUUCCUAUCCCUGCUGGUUCUCUGGUGCGUGCUCCAGACACAUCACGACGCAGGUGUGACUUUGCUGCUGUAGCCGUGCUCUUCGCUUGCUAUCGCGUUACAGUGCCACUCUUGCUCCCGAGACUUGAAAGUUGCUCGCGGUGCAGUACUAAAGCAGCCCCUUCACUCGCGCACUUACUUACUCGCACGCACGCACACAACCUUGAACUCCUCCUUUAUGGACCAGCAUCAAGGACCUGGCUUUUGCAGGUUUGAAAGACACCCUGGCCCAUCCCCUCAGUUUUUCCAAUCCCUUAAUCUCUGCCCACUAGUAGGAACCCAAGAGACUCUGUUCAUGUGUGAAGGCAUGGCUGAGCGGUUGGGGAAUCGCUAACUUGGGACUGUUUAUGAUUUAUGGACUUGGGUCUGUGUACUGAUUUAUGACCCAUGUUUUUGUGUUAUCCGGGCCUGCUUUAUUAUGUUCAAAUGUUAUGAUUAACUGUUUUGUGAUGUUUGAGAUGUCGCAUGCUGUCAUCAAUGAACUACUCGGUGUGUGUCGUGGGUCUAUGGUGGAAGGGUGGAGCGGGGGUGUCUUGUAUGCACUCUGCUCUAAUAGCUGGUCAUGAUUCAUGUCUUGUGUUUAACUACGGGGUUAGUUUGUUGGGCGUAAGCUGGAGCGUCAUCUGUGUUGUAUGACAUUUUUUACAUCAAUUUGUGUAAAUUUUCAAGGUUUAUGUACUGAAGAAUUUGUCACGUGUGUGUAAAAUCACGUUUAUAAUUAUGUAAAAGCUUCUGUCUGUUUACUUAUCAGUGCCAUUGUGUUACGGUUGCUUCAUAUGAAAUAUUGUAACUUUUUAUUAAAAAUAAUAACCUCCCCUCCUUUCCUCCUCUUCUACCCCCUCCCUUAUUCCCCUCCUUUCUGCUCAACUUGUCUGUUGGUGUUUUUUGUUUUUUUUGGUCUUGUGAGUUCUUGCUCUACUCUAGCUUGUUUCUUUGGUACCAUAGAAGCUUUCUCUUUAUUUUUUUAUUUUCAAGUUGCAACUUGCAUUGGGUUUUUUUGUUUGUUCCUUCACCCUCAGGUCAUAAUCUAUCUAUACUAAAUAGAGAAAUAACACCACAUUCCUAAUUGAAUCACAACCCUGACUUUCAAAACACCUCUCACAAUCUUAAAAAAAAAAAGUUCUUUUUCAACUUCCAAGCAGCACAUCCAGCCUGUAUCAUUCUCAGUAUGGAGAAAUGUGUGUCCUGUCCAGGGGGAGUGAUUGUGUUUGAGGAAUACCUCUUGGUGUUUUUCCACUGUCUGGAUGCUUCUCACUGAUGGUCUACAGUCUCUCUUCCUUUCUGCCUCUCUGUGCAAAUAGGCACCAAAGGACAUCUUUACUCUGUGGUUCAAGACAAUAAUUUUUAUAGUUAUGGUGGUUCAAGUUCCAGGGCCUGUGUGAGAGGUGCUAUAUGUUUUUAAACUGCACUCACUGUUGUUUUGAGCAUGGUUGGACACUUCCUGAGGUGUUGUAUAUAUUUGCCAAUGAUUACAAGUUAAAGCUUAUGCAUUCAUGCUUGCUUGCAAGGAUGUGGUAUGUCUGUCAAAAAAAUUUGUUCUUGUUCAUGCUUGUGUUUUCAAGUUCUAUAGUUGUUUCAAGUCUGUCAGUCUGGCCUCUCCUGUGCCUUUUACACAGCACUGAUAUGACUCCUUUCAUAAAUGAUAAGGGAGACCUCAUCUGAAUAAAAAAAAUUUCUGUA